GGGGGUUGUGAGGGGGUUGUCAGGGUAGCUGUCAGGGAGGGGGUUCUCUAAUGGUUUGUGUUUACAUCCAAGGGGUACUGUAUUGUAAUCACCUCUGUUCAGGGCCCUCUAAGGCCUCUACAUUUGGGUUUGAUAGGCUGUCAAACUCUCCUGCCAUUGUUGGGCUGAAGGGCUUUGACACCUCUCACUUCACACCUCAGUGCUAAUUGAAGUCGCAGUCAGAUCUGUUCUGUCAUAGCAAGCUGGGUAGCCUGAACUUAGCAUUCAGUCCUUAUCAAGUGAAAUAUAUCAUAGUCAUGUAUUUUUCUUCUUGGCUUUAAAAGUAGCUUCAGACUGAACAUGACUCACUCAGUUCCAGGUUGGAUGGUGUUUUCAGGUUCCAGGUUGGAUGGUGUUUCCAGGUUCCAGGUUGGAUGGUGUUUCCAGGUUCCAGGUUGGAUGGUGUUUCCAGGUUCCAGGUUGGAUGGUGUUUCCAGGUUCCAGGUUGGGUGGUGUUUUCAGGUUCCAGGUUGGGUGGUGUUUCCAGGUUGGGUGGUGUUUCCAGGUUCCAGGUUGGGUAGUGGUUCCAGGUUGGAUGGUGUUUCCAGGUUGGGUGGUGUUUCCAGGUUCCAGGUUGGGUGGUGGUUCCAGGAUGGAUGGUGUUUCCAGGUUCCAGGUUGGAUGGUGUUUCCAGGUUCCAGGUUGGAUGGUGUUUCCAGGUUAGAUGGUGUUUCCAGGUUCCAGGUUGGGUGGUGUUUCCAGGUUGGAUGGUGUUUCCAGGUUCCAGGUUGGAUGGUGUUUCCAGGUUCCAGGUUGGAUGGUGUUUCCAGGUUCCAGGUUGCAUGGUGUUUUCAGGUUCCAGGUUGGAUGGUGUUUUCAGGUUCCAGGUUGGAUGGUGUUUCCAGGUUCCAGGUUGGAUGGUGUUUCCAGGUUCCUGGUUGGAUGGUGUUUCCAGGUUCCAGGUUGGAUGGUGGUUCCAGGUUCCAGGUUGGAUGGUGGUUCCAGGUUCCAGGUUGGGUGGUGUUUCCAGGUUCCAGGUUGGGUGGUGGUUCCAGGUUGGAUGGUGUUUCCAGGUUGGAUGGUGUUUCCAGGUUCCAGGUUGGAUGGUGUUUCCAGGUUCCUGGUUGGAUGGUGUUUCCAGGUUCCAGGUUGGAUGGUGGUUCCAGGUUCCAGGUUGGAUGGUGUUUUCAGGUUCCAGGUUAGAUGGUGUUUCCAGGUUCCAGGUUGGAUGGUGUUUCCAGGUUCCAGGUUGGGUGGUGUUUCCAGGUUCCAGGUUGGGUGGUGUUUUCAGGUUCCAGGUUGGGUGGUGUUUUCAGGUUCCAGGUUGGGUGGUGUUUUCAGGUUCCAGUUUAGGUGGUGUUUUCACGUUCCAGGUUCGGGGGAUGUUUCCAGGUUCCAGGUUGGGUGGUGGUUCCAGGUUCCAGGUUGGAUGGUGUUUCCAGGUUCCAGGUUGGGUGGUGUUUCCAGGUUCCAGGUUGGGUGGUGGUUCCAGGUUGGAUGGUGGUUCCAGGUUGGAUGGUGGUUCCAGGUUCCAGGUUGGGUGGUGUUUCCAGGUUCCAGGUUGGGUGGUGUUUUCAGGUUCCAGGUUGGGUGGUGUUUCCAGGUUCCAGGUUGGGUGGUGUUUCCAGGUUCCAGGUUGGGUGGUGUUUUCAGGUUCCAGGUUGGAUGGUGUUUCCAGGUUCCAGGUUGGGUGGUGUUUUCAGGUUCCAGGUUGGGUGGUGUUUUCAGGUUCCAGGUUGGGUGGUGUUUCCAGGUUCCAGGUUGGGUGGUGUUUCCAGUUUGGGUGGUGUUUCCAGGUUCCAGGUUGGAUGGUGUUUCCAGGUUCCAGGUAGGAUGGUGUUUCCAGGUUCCAGGUUGGAUGGUGUUUCCAGGUUCCAGGUUGGGUGGUGUUUCCAGGUUGGGUGGUGUUUCCAGGUUCCAGGUUGGGUGGUGUUUUCAGGCUCCAGGUUGGGUGGUGUUUCCAGGUUCCAGGUUGGAUGGUGUUUCCAGGUUCCAGGUUGGAUGGUGUUUCCAGGUUCCAGGUAGGAUGGUGUUUCCAGGUUCCAGGUUGGAUGGUGUUUUCAGGUUCCAGGUUGGAUGAUGUUUUCAGGUUCCAGGUUGGGUGGUGUUUCCAGGUUCCAUGUAGGAGGGUGUUUCCAGGUUCCAGGUUGGAUGGUGUUUCCAGGUUGGGUGGUGUUUCCAGGUUCCAGGUUGGAUGGUGUUUCCAGGUUCCAGGUUGGAUGGUGUUUCCAGGUUCCAGGUAGGAUGGUGUUUUCAGGUUCCAGGUUGGAUGAUGUUUUCAGGUUCCAGGUUGGAUGGUGUUUCCAGGUUGGGUGGUGUUUCCAGGUUCCAGGUUGGGUGGUGUUUCCAGGUUCCAGGUUGGGUGGUGUUUCCAGGUUCCAGGUUGGGUGGUGGUUCCAGGUUGGGUGGUGUUUCCAGGUUCCAGGUUGGGUGGUGGUUCCAGGUUGGAUGGUGUUUCUAGGUUCCAGGUUGGGUGGUGGUUCCAGGUUCCAGGUUGGGUGGUGGUUCCAGGUUGGAUGGUGUUUCCAGGUUCCAGGUUGGGUGGUGUUUCCAGGUUCCAGGUUGGAUGGUGUUUUCAG
RNAcentral lists this long non-coding RNA (2558 nucleotides) under Salmo salar (Atlantic salmon). Its description in RNAcentral is "lncRNA (ENSSSAG00000102793.1)". Lineage: Eukaryota; Metazoa; Chordata; Actinopteri; Salmoniformes; Salmonidae. The record is from RNAcentral.